RNAcentral lists this ribosomal RNA (465 nucleotides) under Vreelandella stevensii. Its description in RNAcentral is "partial 16S ribosomal RNA". It matches the Rfam family "Bacterial small subunit ribosomal RNA", at positions 338 to 795 of the family's 1533-position model. The record is from RNAcentral. Lineage: Bacteria; Pseudomonadati; Pseudomonadota; Gammaproteobacteria; Oceanospirillales; Halomonadaceae.
CCUACGGGUGGCUGCAGUGGGGAAUAUUGGACAAUGGGCGAAAGCCUGAUCCAGCCAUGCCGCGUGUGUGAAGAAGGCCUUCGGGUUGUAAAGCACUUUCAGUGGGGAAGAAAGCCUUGGGGCUAAUACCCUAGAGGAAGGACAUUACCCACAGAAGAAGCACCGGCUAACUCCGUGCCAGCAGCCGCGGUAAUACGGAGGGUGCGAGCGUUAAUCGGAAUUACUGGGCGUAAAGCGCGCGUAGGCGGUCUGAUAAGCCGGAUGUGAAAGCCCCGGGCUCAACCUGGGAACGGCAUCCGGAACUGGCAAGCUAGAGUCCAGUAGAGGAAGGUGGAAUUCCCGGUGUAGCGGUGAAAUGCGUAGAGAUCGGGAGGAAUACCAGUGGCGAAGGCGGCCUUCUGGACUGACACUGACGCUGAGGUGCGAAAGCGUGGGUAGCAAACAGGAUUAGAUACCCGAGUAGUC